This is a long non-coding RNA of Struthio camelus australis, 1556 nucleotides long. RefSeq lists it as uncharacterized. The record is from RefSeq and is a predicted model, not a curated record. Lineage: Eukaryota; Metazoa; Chordata; Aves; Struthioniformes; Struthionidae.
GAAGUUACAGUCGCAAUAUUAAGAUGACAAGAAGUUCAAGACAAGAUAAAGGACCUUGGUGUGAUUGGACACUGAGAGUUCCUUAUUCUGCAAACCUCUAAGUACCUUAAGCUACUUCAGUUGGGCAAAAAAAGAUAACCAAGGAGGGAAAGUCUACUGUGUCAUGAAUGGCUUCAGGAAGGUGAAGAUGGAAGAAUCAUUCAGAGAACAAGAACUACGGGGCAAACGGUGAAAGGACCAGAAGGUGAUGGCAAGCGAGGCUGUUUUUCCAGCAUGAGUACAACUGAGUAAUAAAGCCGAAGGGUGAAGAACAGUCGCCAAGGCAAAGAACAAUCAUCAAGGCAGCUAUUGCAGUCCUCUGUGAACACAGGAGAGUCACAAGGCUUUGGUGGCUGGUAUUCCAUUAGCCAUUUCUCCAGCAGAGCUUGUAAUGGACAGAAUUUGUUGUUUGCAGCUAUCUACCGUAUUUAAAACUUGAAAGAAAAUGAUCUCUAUUUUUUUUCUGUUACCACUCCAGCAGUAAAUAACAACCACGUAAGUCGCAUUCUUGUAAUAUCUUUACUCAUGCAAAUUGCUUGACUUUCAUGCUUAGUCUAAUUGAUUUUAAUGGGGUUAAUUAUGUCAAGGAGGUGUUCUCACUUGUGGAAUGUUUGCAGAAUUAGAUUUUUGAGUAGCAUCAAGGAGCAAUACCCCAUUUUGGACAUUUACCUGAGGCAGGACUGAGGAUCGUAAUUAACGGUGUAACUCCUGUUAACAGGCUAACGCAAAAAAAGCAUUAUUUCUUGCUUAGGUGUAUGACAAAAUUCUACUGUGUAUAAGUUUUAAAACUGGAUCAGCACCUGUCCUUUGCUGACUAGACUCAGACAGACUUGCCCUUUUGAACUCAGAAGAAGUGGUGGUAGGUUCUGUUUAAGGAACCUGUGAUUUCAGUCUAUCAGAGAUUUCCAGGUAUUUCUAUCCCUCUAAUAAUCACAGGGAACAACGAAAAGGCGUUUUCACUGUAGACUAACUAUCCUGGAAGGACACCAUUUGGUGAAAAUAUUGGGCCUUUCGUAAAAAAAGUAAUCAGAAUAUAAGUCAGAGCUAAAGGCUCUUUCUGUUUGUGAUUUUCUGUGAGCUGAACUGUGUUUUUCCAGUUUUUCUUUGAAAAAACAUACAACUUUCUUGCAUAGAAAGGAAGAAUCUUUACACUAUUCUGCAGAAAGAGGCGCAGAUGGUGGGGAGAGGUGCCAGCUAAGGCGACACUCCAGCUCACACGACCUGGUCAUGGCCACACAGCUGUGCAGAACUCUCCAUCCAGAAGGCGUCAAGAUCUGGGCCUGAGAAAGGCUAAGCAGGGUAUUAGUACUUUUUCAUACUAAGAAGGAAAAAGACUGACAAUGAAUCACAAGCGUCUUUUCACACUGCUUUUAAAGUAUAAAAUUACAAAAUUCACAGUUAGUGCUCAGAGGUUCAGAGUACCUGUAGAUGCUUCUGUCUUCAUCCGGAGUCGUGGGUGCUCUCCACUGUGGCGAAUGAGACCAUUUGGAGCUUAGUGUUUAUGGUGCAUUCAAAUA